Molecule: transfer RNA, 98 nt
Filed under: Candidatus Nitrosotenuis uzonensis
Lineage: Archaea; Thermoproteati; Nitrososphaerota
Description: Thaumarchaeota archaeon N4 Pseudo tRNA
Rfam family: tRNA
About the family: Transfer RNA (tRNA) molecules are approximately 80 nucleotides in length. Their secondary structure includes four short double-helical elements and three loops (D, anti-codon, and T loops).
Source: RNAcentral
GCAGGGGUAUCGAAGCCCGGUCAACCGAGAGGGACUCAAGAUCCAAAUAGGAAAUCCCUUCCCUCAGGGGUUCGUGGGUUCAAAUCCCACCCCCUGCA